This 72-nucleotide transfer RNA is filed under the name Aeluroscalabotes felinus. Its description in RNAcentral is "tRNA-Thr". It matches the Rfam family "tRNA". From Rfam's summary of the family: Transfer RNA (tRNA) molecules are approximately 80 nucleotides in length. Their secondary structure includes four short double-helical elements and three loops (D, anti-codon, and T loops). Further hydrogen bonds mediate the characteristic L-shaped molecular structure. tRNAs have two regions of fundamental functional importance: the anti-codon, which is responsible for specific mRNA codon recognition, and the 3' end, to which the tRNAs corresponding amino acid is attached (by aminoacyl-tRNA synthetases). tRNAs cope with the degeneracy of the genetic code in two manners: having more than one tRNA (with a specific anti-codon) for a particular amino acid; and 'wobble' base-pairing, i.e. permitting non-standard base-pairing at the 3rd anti-codon position. Lineage: Eukaryota; Metazoa; Chordata; Lepidosauria; Squamata; Eublepharidae. The record is from RNAcentral.
ACCCUGAUAGCUUAUCUUUAAAGCGUAGAUCUUGUAAAUCUAAAAUGGGAAUACAGCCUCUCCCUCAGUGUA